Octopus sinensis (East Asian common octopus) is the source of this 107-nucleotide long non-coding RNA. RefSeq lists it as uncharacterized. Lineage: Eukaryota; Metazoa; Mollusca; Cephalopoda; Octopoda; Octopodidae. The transcript has 3 exons. The record is from RefSeq and is a predicted model, not a curated record.
UGUUGACAUGGAGAAAACCUUUGACAGGGUCCCUCACUUCCUAAUCUGGUGGUUGAUGCAGAAGCUAGGGUUAGAUGAGUGGUUGGUGAGAGCUGUCCAACCCAUGU